Molecule: long non-coding RNA, 481 nt
Organism: Centruroides sculpturatus (bark scorpion)
Lineage: Eukaryota; Metazoa; Arthropoda; Arachnida; Scorpiones; Buthidae
Exons: 3
Source: RefSeq, a predicted model, not a curated record
CAAUGCACCUGAAUUUCGUGUAGAUUUCGGUUAGAAAAAUGGCAAAGUAUGUUUUUAUUAUAAGUACUGAAUAGAUUCAAAAUUGUUUUCCGAUGAGCUAAGUCUUUUACGAACAAAUUGCAGGAGACGUCUCAUUUGGUUGUUUAAUCGGUGUUCGUUUUUAAGCCAUCGUCUUGAGUCGAAAAAAAGUCGACAGAAGUUUUAUUUUACUCUGUUGAUAACUCACAAUUGUUUGUGUCUGUGAAGACAGAGAGGGUGAAGAUUGUGGUGUUCUUUCAGCAGUACGACGAAAUGAAUGCAAGCAUUUGGAAUUGUCGAACACACAGGCAGUCUUAAUAAAAGGAGAAAACCUCGUUGAUGAUUUCACCAGAAAGAAAGAAGAAAACAGAAGGAACAUUUUAACGAAGCGGAAGUGGAGACUUCUCAGGUAACAUUUGAUGAUGUAUGGAAUUCCCUGGUUUGUGGACUGUGUUAACGAGUA